This 206-nucleotide unclassified non-coding RNA is filed under the name uncultured fungus. RNAcentral's name for it is "sequence contains ITS1". Lineage: Eukaryota; Fungi. The record is from RNAcentral.
GUACAUUAGUGCUUGCGCACGACAAUAGUUUUCAUUACAUUCGAGUGUGUGUAUAAAAAUCCUCUGCCAGCCAGAGCUAGCAAGAGGCCAAAGGUUCACAGGGGUAUUGGAUGAAAGCCACCAACGUGCACUUGCUCUUACGAGCCAGCACCGAGGGCGACCAUUCGCAAUCAUUAAUGAUCCUUCCGCAGGUUCACCUACGGAAA